CUCACCUUCCUCGGCAGAAGAACCUAAUGCAGACUUCAUUUCACAUCGAAAAAAUUCAAGACAGCUGUUUAUCCUUUCACAUUGAGACCUAUGGAAGAGGGUUACAUAGUGACAGAAAAACGCCAAAUACAGAGUAUAUAAGAUGAGCACCAGAUGCAUAUUGGAGUUUGAACUGUUCUUAGACCAUCAACUUACAAUGGCAAAAUAUCGAAUAGGAAUAUAACAGAUAAGCAGAAAACAGAGUAGGGAACAACAGUUCCAAACCUUUUCGACAAUGAACAAAAUAUUGUGACCAAGACUUUGUUUGUUUCAACAUCCCUUGCUGCCUUGGUGAGUUUAAACGAAUUCAAGCAUCCAAGUAUAUUAAAUAAUAUAGUUAAAUAAAUAUUACAUAGAGACAGAAAAACACUGAAUAUAGGGUAUAUUAGAUGGACAGAAAACUAAUUGAAUAAGGGCAGCGGAUGCAAACUGCUGUUAUAUCAAUCAUAUGACAGUGGAAUAUCAAAUAUGGAUAUAAUAGAUCAGCAAAAAACAGGGUAGGGUACAACAGUUUCCAACCUUGUGGGCAAUGAUCAAAAUACUGUGAUUACAAAGACUUGGUUUGUGUACAUCCCUUGCUGUCUUGGUGGGCUUAAACAAAUUCAACCAUGCCAGGGUACAUUAAAUAAAUACAAAGAAGCUAACAACCCUAAUGCAAUCCUAUGUGAAGCAUUAAAAAAACAGUGAAGCUGACAACCCUAAUGUUCCUUCAAAUCCUCCUUAUGUGAUCACUAAGGCAGGUGGGUACAACAUCCCUCUCUUUGCAAUACCCUGGGAGAUAAACCGAAGCUUUAAACAGUAAUGCCUGUUAUGGCCUAGGAGAGAGGACAUCUAGCCUCAAUUACAGUUUGAGAAGGUACAGCAGAGAGCACAUCCAGAUUCAAACUCUGGAGAAAUAGCAGGCAUCGGGAUUUUGGAGGGUACGUGAUUUACCUUGAUAGGUAUUCCUUGGAGGAGACAAGAACCACCCCCAACAAAUGGUCGUAAUUUAAUCCAGGCCUCAGCGGAUCAGAAGACUGUUGGCUCGAUGGCCCAGAAGAAUAACGCCUCAGUGUGAAGGUCUGCCCAGGGUCGCCAUGGGACUUCAUCCCAAGCAACUCCAGCAUCCUUGUG
Molecule: long non-coding RNA, 1152 nt
Filed under: Hordeum vulgare
Lineage: Eukaryota; Viridiplantae; Streptophyta; Magnoliopsida; Poales; Poaceae
Description: long non-coding RNA (HVUL_LNC005941)
Source: RNAcentral